CAAGGAAUUUUCCCCAAUGGGCGCAAGCCUGAGGGAGCAACGCCGCGUGCAGGACGACGGCCUUCGGGUUGUAAACUGCUUUUGCGUGGGACGAUAACGACGGUACCACGCGAAUCAGCCCCGGCUAACUCUGUGCCAGCAGCCGCGGUAAUACAGAGGGGGCAAGCGUUGUCCGGACUUACUGGGCGUAAAGCGCACGCAGGUGGUAACGCAAGUGGGGUGUGAAAGCCGCCAGCUCAACUGGCGGUGGCCAUCCCAAACUGCGUCGCUUGAGGCCUGUAGAGGUAUGGGGAAGGUUCCGUGUAGGUGUGUAAUGCGUUGGCAUCGGGAGGAAGAAACAGGGGGAUACCAGCAUACUGGACAGGUCCUGACACUCAGGUGCGACAGCGUGGCGAGCGAACCGGAUUAGAUACCCCUGUAGUCG
This 424-nucleotide ribosomal RNA is filed under the name uncultured prokaryote. RNAcentral's name for it is "bacterial SSU rRNA". It matches the Rfam family "Bacterial small subunit ribosomal RNA", at positions 355 to 796 of the family's 1533-position model. The record is from RNAcentral.